GCCGGCUUAGCUCAGUUGGUAGAGCGCGUGAUUUGUAAUCACGAGGUCGCAGGUUCGACCCCUGCAGCCGGCACCA
Molecule: transfer RNA, 76 nt
Filed under: Alphaproteobacteria bacterium
Lineage: Bacteria; Pseudomonadati; Pseudomonadota; Alphaproteobacteria
Description: tRNA-Thr
Rfam family: tRNA
About the family: Transfer RNA (tRNA) molecules are approximately 80 nucleotides in length. Their secondary structure includes four short double-helical elements and three loops (D, anti-codon, and T loops).
Source: RNAcentral